GAUGAAGAACGUAGCGAAAUGCGAUAAGUAGUGUGAAUUGCAGAAUUCAGUGAAUCAUCGAAUCUUUGAACGCACAUUGCGCCCCAUGGUAUUCCGUGGGGCAUGCCUGUUCGAGCGUCAUUUACCCCCUCAAGCUCCGCUUGGUGUUGGGCGUCUGUCCCGCUUCGCGCGCGGACUCGCCCCAAAGGUAUUGGCAGCGGUCGUGCCAGCUUCUCGCGCAGCACAUUGCGCUUCUCGAGGCACCGGUGGGCCCGCGUCCAUCAAGCUCACCCCCCCCAGUUUGACCUCGGAUCAGGUAGGGAUACCCGCUGAACUUAAGCAUAUCAAUAAGCGGAGGA
RNAcentral lists this unclassified non-coding RNA (338 nucleotides) under soil metagenome. RNAcentral describes it as "partial contains 5.8S ribosomal RNA, internal transcribed spacer 2, and large subunit ribosomal RNA". The stretch from base 1 to 120 matches the Rfam family "5.8S ribosomal RNA", at positions 35 to 154 of the family's 154-position model. The record is from RNAcentral.